This 253-nucleotide ribosomal RNA is filed under the name uncultured bacterium. Its description in RNAcentral is "partial 16S ribosomal RNA". It matches the Rfam family "Bacterial small subunit ribosomal RNA", at positions 524 to 776 of the family's 1533-position model. The record is from RNAcentral.
UACGUAGGGCGCAAGCGUUAUCCGGAAUUAUUGGGCGUAAAGAGCCCGUAGGCGGUUUGUCGCGUCUGCCGUGAAAGUCCGGGGCUCAAUUCCGGAUCUGCGGUGGGUACGGGCAGACUAGAGUGAUGUAGGGGAGACUGGAAUUCCUGGUGUAGCGGUGAAAUGCGCAGAUAUCAGGAGGAACACCGAUGGCGAAGGCAGGUCUCUGGGCAUUAACUGACGCUGAGGAGCGAAAGCAUGGGGAGCGAACAGG